UAAGUCCUACGGGGCGCAGCAGUGAGGAAUAUUUUUCAAUGUUAUAUAUCCUUAACCAUCCAAUCCUCUUUAGUGAAUACGUCCCUAUGGGUUGUAAACCUCUUUCGUCGUAGAACAAAACCCGGGACGUGUCCCGGACUGCGUGUAUCCGAAGAAAAAGCAUCGGCUAACUCCGUGCCAGCAGCCGCGGUAAUACGGAGGAUGCGAGCGUUAUCCGGAUUUAUUGGGUUUAAAGGGUGCGUAGGCGGUCCGUUAAGUCAGCGGUAAAAUUGCGGGGCUCAACCCCGUCGAGCCGUUGAA
RNAcentral lists this ribosomal RNA (300 nucleotides) under uncultured bacterium. RNAcentral's name for it is "bacterial SSU rRNA". It matches the Rfam family "Bacterial small subunit ribosomal RNA", at positions 333 to 631 of the family's 1533-position model. The record is from RNAcentral.